Molecule: ribosomal RNA, 332 nt
Filed under: uncultured bacterium
Lineage: Bacteria
Description: bacterial SSU rRNA
Rfam family: Bacterial small subunit ribosomal RNA
Source: RNAcentral
CGUGUAGGCGGUUUGGUCAAGUCGGGUGUGAAAGCCUGGGCUCAGCCCCAGAAGUGCGUCCGAAACUAGCCAGCUAGAGCGCGAUAGAGGAGGGUGGAAUUCCUGGUGUAGCGGUGAAAUGCGUAGAUAUCAGGAGGAACACCGGCGGCGAAGGCGGCCCUCUGGAUCGUUGCUGACGCUGAGACGCGAAAGCGUGGGGAGCAAACAGGAUUAGAUACCCUGGUAGUCCACGCCUUAAACGAUAGGUACUAGGUGUUCGGGGUGUUGACCCCCUGAGUGCCGCAGUUAACGCAUUAAGUACCCCGCCUGGGGACUACGGCCGCAAGGUUAAA